ACGGAAGGCAGCAGUGGGGAAUAUUGGGCAAUGGGCGCAAGCCUGACCCAGCGACGCCGCGUGAGGGAAGAAGGUCUUCGGAUUGUAAACCUCUGUUGUAAGGGAAGAAACAAAUGACGGUACCUUACGAGGAAGCCACGGCUAACUACGUGCCAGCAGCCGCGGUAAUACGUAGGUGGCGAGCGUUAUCCGGAUUUACUGGGUGUAAAGGGUGUGUAGGCGGGAUUGCAAGUCAGAUGUGAAAAUUAUGGGCUCAACUCAUAACCUGCAUUUGAAACUGUGGUUCUUGAGGGUCGGAGAGGUAACUGGAAUUCCUGGUGUAGCGGUGAAAUGCGUAGAUAUCAGGAGGAACACCGGUGGCGAAGGCGAGUUACUGGACGAUACCUGACGCUGAGACACGAAAGUGUGGGGAGCAAACAGGAUUAGAUACCCUGGUA
Molecule: ribosomal RNA, 437 nt
Filed under: uncultured Oscillospiraceae bacterium
Lineage: Bacteria; Bacillati; Bacillota; Clostridia; Eubacteriales; Oscillospiraceae
Also listed under: 1 other name
Description: partial 16S ribosomal RNA
Rfam family: Bacterial small subunit ribosomal RNA
Source: RNAcentral